AAGUGACUAAGCGUACACGGUGGAUGCCUUGGCAGUCAGAGGCGAUGAAGGACGUAUUAACUUGCGAUAAGCCCAGAUUAGGCAGUAAAAGCCACUUGAGUCUGGGAUUUCCGAAUGGGGAAACCCAACUGCAUAAGCAGUUACUGUUAACUGAAUACAUAGGUUAACAGGGCGAACCGGGGGAACUGAAACAUCUAAGUACCCCGAGGAAAAGAAAUC
RNAcentral lists this ribosomal RNA (219 nucleotides) under Vibrio parahaemolyticus. Its description in RNAcentral is "partial 23S ribosomal RNA". It matches the Rfam family "Bacterial large subunit ribosomal RNA", at positions 1 to 226 of the family's 2925-position model. Lineage: Bacteria; Pseudomonadati; Pseudomonadota; Gammaproteobacteria; Vibrionales; Vibrionaceae. The record is from RNAcentral.